Molecule: long non-coding RNA, 146 nt
Organism: Octopus sinensis (East Asian common octopus)
Lineage: Eukaryota; Metazoa; Mollusca; Cephalopoda; Octopoda; Octopodidae
Exons: 3
Source: RefSeq, a predicted model, not a curated record
CACACGUGUGCUCUUUCACUUUCCCAUCAAUGGUUAAAUACCUUCUGGCUUAAAAUCAGAAACAGAAGGGUUUAUCAUAGCAGCCCAAGAUCAAUGCCUACCUACAAGAAGCUACCAGGCCAACAUAUUAAAGAAGGGCAGUAGCC